GAUGAACGCUGGCGGCGUGCCUAAUACAUGCAAGUCGAGCGAACAGACUAGGCGCUUGCUCCUCUGACGUUAGCGGCGGACGGGUGAGUAACACGUGGAUAACCUACCUAUAAGACUGGGAUAACUUCGGGAAACCGGAGCUAAUCCCGGAUAAUCUAUUGAACCGCAUGGUUCAAUAGUGAAAGACGGUUUUGCUGUCACUUAUAGAUGGUUCCCCGCCGCAUUAGCUGGUUGGUAAGGUAACGGCUUACCACGGCGACGAUGCGUAGCCGAGCUGAGAGGGUGAUCGGCCACCUGGGAACUGAGACACGGACCAGACUACUACGGGAGGCAGCAGUAGGGAAUCUUCCGCAAUGGGCGAAAGCAUGACGGAGCAACGCCGCGUGAGUGAUGAAGGUCUUCGGAUCGUAAAACUCUGUUAUUAGGGAAGAACAAAUGUGUAAGUAACUAUGCACGUAUUGACGGUACCUAAUCAGAAAGCCACGGCUAACUACGUG
RNAcentral lists this ribosomal RNA (497 nucleotides) under uncultured bacterium. RNAcentral describes it as "partial 16S ribosomal RNA". It matches the Rfam family "Bacterial small subunit ribosomal RNA", at positions 28 to 507 of the family's 1533-position model. The record is from RNAcentral.